CCUCUCUCUCUCGCUCUGUCGUUCCAUCCCUCCCUCUCUGUGUUUACCCCCCCCCUCCUCUUGCUCUCCCUCCUCCUCCUCCGCUAGUUGCCAGUAGUACCUUGUUGCAGUAGAUCAGCCCUAACUAGGCAGCACUCGGCCCCAGGCAGGCAGAAAGGGCAGAUCACGCCACAGAGCUGCUGGAGGAGGAAGAGACGCACAAAACAGGAAAAGGAUCAGCCACCAAAAAGGAGAAGACAACAAAAAUAACGGCUCUCAAAAGAGCAAAGGAGGACCUGACGAAAGACAACUAAACUAUCGGCUGCCUUUGGUUUUGAUUUGUGUUUGAACAUCCACCCAAGGAGGGCAUCGCGUAGGUGAGCAUGGCCAGCUGUGGCUGCUGUUUCUGGGGCAUUGUGUGGCUGAUUGUGCUGCUGGUGAUUGGCUGGCCGCUGAGCAUCUUCCUGGGGGGCCUGUACGGCUUCAUCGCCCCGCUGACGGCCUGCGUGGGGCUGGACCGGCUGGCCGAACUGCUGAUGGAGGGGGCCAACCUGGGCCGCACCUGCGCCCAAAACAUGCGGCAUGGGAAACCACUGUGCUGAGGCCCACCUGUAGGCUAGUGCACACCUGUAGGCUAGUGCACACCUGUGAUGAAGCUAACCUGACCCCACACACACACAGAUACCCAUGCAGAUAUACACUUCAAGAAUAGAUCGUCAAACUAAUCAUUCUAAUGUUACAUUUAUUUAGAUUAGAUUACAUGUUUAACUUAACUUUAGGUCCUGGUCCUCAAAACACAAUGCUUUGUAACAUACAAACGAGCAGUCAGUAUCACCCAUUGUGACAUGUCAGCAUUUUAUGUGUACAAAUAUUAUAGUGAAACAGUAUAGUAAAAGGUCAAUGCAUCUUACUUGAUGUUAACACCAUUCAGAUCCACCAAAGUGCCUGUGCUGUUCCAGAGUUCCUCUUGUGGUGCACUAUACGUGCUUUAGUGGAUAAUACCGUGUGCUUUGUAUGCUAAAUGUGACAACAUUUGGCAAGUGUGUACAAUGGUGCUGUAUGUUUCUGUUUCUUUUCAAAACGAAAGUCUUGUAUGUGUGAUAUGGACCUCAUUACCUGAAGUGCCUGUAUUUGUGAUAUUGAAUGCUGUUUUGGAGUUGAUACAGACUUCGCUAGUUCUCCCUGGGACCAAUUUGUAUUUUGAUGAAACUGAUAUAUUGAAGUAUUGAGUCAAUGAAGUAAAACCAAUUCUGCCUUAAUAUUAAAAGGAGUUGUUCAUGUUUUUUUAUUUCAUGGCAACCAAACAGAAACACCCAGAAUUUGUGUCUGGUUUUAUCUUCUUUCUCUCUUUCUCUCUCUCUCUAUCUCUCUCCCUGUCUGUGAAAAAUAUGAAGAAAGGAAACUUCUGAUCCAGUUCCAUUUCAAAAGAGAUCUCCCUGGAACAGAGGAGUGAGCUCAUGCUGGUGAAAAAUGUCACUCAGACAAAAAAAUAAAAAGUUUCUCUCUUU
This is a long non-coding RNA of Alosa sapidissima (American shad), 1487 nucleotides long. RefSeq lists it as uncharacterized. NCBI's taxonomy places the organism in Eukaryota, Metazoa, Chordata, Actinopteri, Clupeiformes, Clupeidae. The transcript has 2 exons. The record is from RefSeq and is a predicted model, not a curated record.